This 813-nucleotide long non-coding RNA is filed under the name Helianthus annuus (common sunflower). Its description in RNAcentral is "hypothetical non coding rna". The record is from RNAcentral. Lineage: Eukaryota; Viridiplantae; Streptophyta; Magnoliopsida; Asterales; Asteraceae.
GCACUCCACCUAUUUUUUCCUCAUCUCUUAGACUUUCACUUUACAAACCCUAAAAAACAAACUUACAGCUCUCUCUCCUAUCGGCCACCACCAAGAUCCUCCAUCAGUUCCACAAGAUCACAAGAUGUUGACGUUGAUGCUCCUCCUGAAAUUCUCAUCAAUCAAAAACCCUCUCAAAUUUUGCACAAUUUUCUUCCGAUUUUAUCUAUCCAGCUGAUAUUUUGGCUUUGUCGUCAUUCCGAUUUAAGGUUAUCAAUCCUUUGAUGUUGUUUGAAGACAAUCAUGAUAAUCAGGCUUAUAUGUGAAUCCAUGGAAAUCUCUUAUUGAUUCGGAAUAAAAAUGAACCAACAGCUGCAAAUCCGGAUCUGGGUUCAAAGUAUUUUGUUAUUAAUUUAUGGGUUUGGGUUUUUAUUUUCAAUCUAGAUGGAGGUAAAUAGAGGAAUAUCAAAAAUUCUUUGUUUUUUCAUGACCAGUUACAAGAUUAGUCGGCCUCAAAUUGUAUAAUGUUUAUUACUUAUCCAUAUUACAUGUGUUGUAUGUAACCAAUUAGGGUUCUGAUUAUCAUCUUCUCAUUGUGGCUACAAUUAAGAUUGGGGUUUUUUAGUCUUUUGCAACAAUCGUUGCAACGAACUUCGAAGUUACUAACCUCAAUCAAAGGUUUUUUUAAUCCUCUGUUUUAUUACGUGAUUAAGUUUUUUUGAUUUCUUUGUUUGUGAAUAGGGUUGUAUUGUUAUUGUUAACAAAUUUAGCUAGAAGGUUGUAGAAUUCAAGAUCUCUUAAAAAGAAGCUUUUGAUUUUACAAGGAUUGCAAUU